UGCGGAAGGAUCAUUAAUGAAAUGAAUGUCGAAAAGGGUUGUAGCUGGCCUCUUGAGGUAUGUGCACACCUUUAUCGCGCAUCCACAUCUCACACCCGUGCACAACCUGUAGCUUGGGAUGAUUACAAUUCUGGAAACGGUAUUGAAAGCCCUUGCUAUGAAUUUUUAAACAACCGUAUUAAAAGUUAUAGAAUGUCAUGGCGUGUAACAGCGCAAAUAAAUAUACAACUUUCAGCAACGGAUCUCUUGGCUCUCGCAUCGAUGAAGAACGCAGCGAAAUGCGAUAAGUAAUGUGAAUUGCAGAAUUCAGUGAAUCAUCGAAUCUUUGAACGCACCUUGCGCUCCUUGGUAUUCUGAGGAGCAUGCCUGUUUGAGUGUCAUGAAGCUCUCAACUGCUUUAGCUUUUUAUGGUUGAAGUGAAGUUGGAUUUGGAGGAAUGAUUAUUGCUGGCGUGACCUUUUCAGGUUGCUUGUUAGCUCCUCUUAAAUGGAUGAACUUUCCAGUAGUAAAAUAACACCAAUGUGAUAAUUAUCUACGUUGGAUGUGCUUUUUACAAGGAAAGGAUAUAUGUGUCUUGAAGGCAAACACCUCUUGACGAAACAA
This 603-nucleotide unclassified non-coding RNA is filed under the name uncultured fungus. RNAcentral's name for it is "partial contains ITS1, 5.8S rRNA and ITS2". The stretch from base 227 to 380 matches the Rfam family "5.8S ribosomal RNA". Lineage: Eukaryota; Fungi. The record is from RNAcentral.